RNAcentral lists this microRNA precursor (148 nucleotides) under Oryza sativa (Asian cultivated rice). RNAcentral describes it as "miR426 stem-loop (osa-MIR426)". Its record names the gene osa-MIR426. The record is from miRBase by way of RNAcentral. Lineage: Eukaryota; Viridiplantae; Streptophyta; Magnoliopsida; Poales; Poaceae.
UCGCAUUUUUGGAAGUUUGUCCUUACGAAAAGGCUAGCAAAAUUUAGUGAGGCAAUGAAUGAAAAGACAUCUAGCGAUACUAAAAUUAAAAUUUGAUAACCCUAAAAUGUGUCAAACUUUGGCAUUUCGUGAAAAUCCUUCAAUGCGA